RNAcentral lists this long non-coding RNA (235 nucleotides) under Lathyrus oleraceus (garden pea). RNAcentral's name for it is "Pisum sativum (pea) long non-coding RNA (PSAT_LNC005883)". Lineage: Eukaryota; Viridiplantae; Streptophyta; Magnoliopsida; Fabales; Fabaceae. The record is from RNAcentral.
UAAAAGCUACCCCAUGGAAGUGUUAGAAUAGGUAGUAGUAAUAAUAGUAAUAGUAAUAAUAAUAAUAGAAAAGAGAAAGAAAUUAAAAACAAACAUAGAGUGAAAAUAAUAAAAAUGAAAACAACUAAAAAGAAAAGAUAAAAAUUAAAGGUCGUGGAUUGCCUUCCACGUAGCACUUUGUUUAAUGUUGGGAGUUCGACAUUAAUUGGAACGGUGCUAAUCUUUUGAAAAAGCG